AGUGAACGCUGGCGGCGUGCCUAAUACAUGCAAGUCGAACGGAGAUUAAGUAGCUUGCUAUUUAAUCUUAGUGGCGCACGGGUGAGUAAUAUAUAGCUAACUUGCCCAUUACUAAGGGACAACAGUUGGAAACGACUGCUAAUACCUUAUACUCCGUAUCUAUAUAAGUAGAUACGGGAAAGUUUUUCGGUAAUGGAUAGGGCUAUAUCGUAUCAGCUAGUUGGUAAGGUAAUGGCUUACCAAGGCUAUGACGCGUAACUGGUCUGAGAGGAUGAUCAGUCACACUGGAACUGAGACACGGUCCAGACUCCUACGGGAGGCAGCAGUAGGGAAUAUUGCUCAAUGGGGGAAACCCUGAAGCAGCAACGCCGCGUGGAGGAUGACACUUUUCGGAGCGUAAACUCCUUUUCUUG
This 413-nucleotide ribosomal RNA is filed under the name Campylobacter showae. RNAcentral describes it as "bacterial SSU rRNA". It matches the Rfam family "Bacterial small subunit ribosomal RNA", at positions 29 to 441 of the family's 1533-position model. The record is from RNAcentral. Lineage: Bacteria; Pseudomonadati; Campylobacterota; Epsilonproteobacteria; Campylobacterales; Campylobacteraceae.